This 1510-nucleotide ribosomal RNA is filed under the name uncultured bacterium. Its description in RNAcentral is "bacterial SSU rRNA". It matches the Rfam family "Bacterial small subunit ribosomal RNA". The record is from RNAcentral.
UUAGAGUUUGAUCCUGGCUCAGGAUGAACGCUAGCGGCAGGCUUAACACAUGCAAGUCGAGGGGUAACGGGGAAGCUUGCUUCCGCCGACGACCGGCGCACGGGUGCGUAACGCGUAUACAAUCUACCUUGUACUGGGGUAUAGCCUUUAGAAAUGAAGAUUAAUCCCCCAUAGUCUCUUAGAGUGGCAUCACUUCUAGAGUAAAGGUUACGGUAUAAGAUGAGUAUGCGUUCUAUUAGUUUGUUGGUGUGGUAACGGCACACCAAGACUACGAUAGAUAGGGGCCCUGAGAGGGGGAUCCCCCACACUGGUACUGAGACACGGACCAGACUCCUACGGGAGGCAGCAGUGAGGAAUAUUGGACAAUGGAGGCAACUCUGAUCCAGCCAUGCCGCGUGCAGGAAGACUGCCCUAUGGGUUGUAAACUGCUUUUAUACAGGAAGAAACACCUCUACGUGUAGAGGCUUGACGGUACUGUAAGAAUAAGGAUCGGCUAACUCCGUGCCAGCAGCCGCGGUAAUACGGAGGAUCCAAGCGUUAUCCGGAAUCAUUGGGUUUAAAGGGUCCGUAGGUGGAUAAUUAAGUCAGAGGUGAAAUCUUGCAGCUCAACUGUAAAAUUGCCUUUGAAACUGGUUAUCUUGAGUUAUUAUGAAGUAGUUAGAAUAUGUAGUGUAGCGGUGAAAUGCAUAGAUAUUACAUAGAAUACCAAUUGCGAAGGCAGAUUACUAAUAAUCAACUGACACUGAUGGACGAAAGCGUGGGUAGCGAACAGGAUUAGAUACUCUGGUAGUCCACGCCGUAAACGAUGGUUACUAGCUGUUUGGACUUCGGUCUGAGUGGCUAAGCGAAAGUGAUAAGUAACCCACCUGGGGAGUACGUUCGCAAGAAUGAAACUCAAAGGAAUUGACGGGGGCCCGCACAAGCGGUGGAGCAUGUGGUUUAAUUCGAUGAUACGCGAGGAACCUUACCAGGGCUUAAAUGUAAGUUGCAUUAGUUAGAGAUAGCUAUUUCUUCGGACCACUUACAAGGUGCUGCAUGGUUGUCGUCAGCUCGUGCCGUGAGGUGUCAGGUUAAGUCCUAUAACGAGCGCAACCCCUGUUGUUAGUUGCCAGCGAGUCAUGUCGGGAACUCUAACAAGACUGCCAGUGCAAACUGUGAGGAAGGUGGGGAUGACGUCAAAUCAUCACGGCCCUUACGUCCUGGGCUACACACGUGCUACAAUGGUAGGUACAGAGAGCAGCCACUGCGCGAGCAGGAGCGAAUCUAUAAAACCUAUCACAGUUCGGAUCGGAGUCUGCAACUCGACUCCGUGAAGCUGGAAUCGCUAGUAAUCGGAUAUCAGCCAUGAUCCGGUGAAUACGUUCCCGGGCCUUGUACACACCGCCCGUCAAGCCAUGGAAGUUGGAAGUGCCUGAAGUCCGUCACCGCAAGGAGCGGCCUAGGGUAAAGUCGAUAACUAGGGCUAAGUCGUAACAAGGUAACCAAGGGCGAAUCGUUAAGCUGACGGGGU